UGAUGUCACGAGGCCCCGCCCCUGCGAGGCAUUGUGGAAAACCAGCCUAGCAACGCGGGCGGGGCGAGCUGUGACAGUCUGCGCGUUGGUACCGAAUGCCCCCACCCGAUGUCCAAGCUUCAGACUCUUUCUCUCUGUAAUGAAAAAGAGUGUCUUGUGGAGAGAUUUUUUGAGACUCUAUAAUUAGUUCCUGUUGCCUGUAAUCGAGAAAUCCUACUGACCCCUUCAAUCAAGAUGACUUCAGGCAAGACAAAUUUAUUACAGGGAUACAGAAGUGUCUCAUGAAACUCAUUUCAGAUAGGCCUUCCCU
Molecule: long non-coding RNA, 310 nt
Filed under: Camelus dromedarius (Arabian camel)
Lineage: Eukaryota; Metazoa; Chordata; Mammalia; Artiodactyla; Camelidae
Description: lncRNA (ENSCDRG00005000254.1)
Source: RNAcentral